GAUGAAGAACGUAGCGAAAUGCGAUAAGUAAUGUGAAUUGCAGAAUUCAGUGAAUCAUCGAAUCUUUGAACGCACAUUGCGCCCGCCAGUAUUCUGGCGGGCAUGCCUGUUCGAGCGCCAUUUCAACCAUCAAGCCCCCCGGCUUGUGUUGGGGACCUGCGGCUGCCGCAGGCCCUGAAAAGCAGUGGCGGGCUCGCUGUCACACCGAGCGUAGUAGAUCUCAUCUCGCUCAGGGCGUGCUGCGGGUUCCGGCCGUUAAACCACCUUCAUAACCCAAGGUUGACCUCGGAUCAGGUAGGAAGACCCGCUGAACUUAAGCAUAUCAAUAAGCGGAGGA
This 337-nucleotide unclassified non-coding RNA is filed under the name soil metagenome. RNAcentral's name for it is "partial contains 5.8S ribosomal RNA, internal transcribed spacer 2, and large subunit ribosomal RNA". The stretch from base 1 to 120 matches the Rfam family "5.8S ribosomal RNA", at positions 35 to 154 of the family's 154-position model. The record is from RNAcentral.